GUCUACGGCCAUGCCACCCUGAAAAAGCUCGAUCCCGUCUGAUCUCGGAAGCUAAGCAGGGUCGGGCCUGGUUAGUACUUGGACGGGUGACCACCUAGGAAGACCAGGUGCUGUAGGCG
RNAcentral lists this ribosomal RNA (119 nucleotides) under Pteropus alecto (black flying fox). The record is from RNAcentral. Lineage: Eukaryota; Metazoa; Chordata; Mammalia; Chiroptera; Pteropodidae.